CAGUGGGGAAUAUUGCACAAUGGGCGCAAGCCUGAUGCAGCCAUGCCGCGUGUAUGAAGAAGGCCUUCGGGUUGUAAAGUACUUUCAGCAGUGAGGAAGGUGGUGCAGUUAAUAGCUGUAUCAUUUGACGUUAGCUGCAGAAGAAGCACCGGCUAACUCCGUGCCAGCAGCCGCGGUAAUACGGAGGGUGCGAGCGUUAAUCGGAAUUACUGGGCGUAAAAGCGCAUGCAGGUGGUUUGUUAAGUCAGAUGUGAAAGCCCGGGGCUCAACCUCGGAAUUGCAUUUGAAACUGGCAGACUAGAGUACUGUAGAGGGGGGUAGAAUUUCAGGUGUAGCGGUGAAAAUGCGUAGAGAUCUGAAGGAAUACCGGUGGCGAAGGCGGCCCCCUGGACAGAUACUGACACUCAGAUGCGAAAGCGUGGGGAGCAAACAGGAUUAGAUACCCUGGUAG
RNAcentral lists this ribosomal RNA (451 nucleotides) under uncultured bacterium. RNAcentral describes it as "bacterial SSU rRNA". It matches the Rfam family "Bacterial small subunit ribosomal RNA", at positions 352 to 793 of the family's 1533-position model. The record is from RNAcentral.